GCCUGGCUGGCUUAGUCUGUGGAGCAUGUGACUUACGAUCUUGAGUUUGUAGGUUCAAGCCCCACGUUGGGUG
RNAcentral lists this transfer RNA (73 nucleotides) under Canis lupus familiaris (dog). It matches the Rfam family "tRNA". From Rfam's summary of the family: Transfer RNA (tRNA) molecules are approximately 80 nucleotides in length. Their secondary structure includes four short double-helical elements and three loops (D, anti-codon, and T loops). The record is from Rfam by way of RNAcentral. RNAcentral also lists the same sequence under 1 other name. Lineage: Eukaryota; Metazoa; Chordata; Mammalia; Carnivora; Canidae.